RNAcentral lists this ribosomal RNA (485 nucleotides) under uncultured eukaryote. RNAcentral describes it as "SSU rRNA". It matches the Rfam family "Eukaryotic small subunit ribosomal RNA", at positions 550 to 1119 of the family's 1831-position model. The record is from RNAcentral.
GGAGGGCAAGUCUGGUGCCAGCAGCCGCGGUAAUUCAGCUCAAUAGCGUAUAUUAAAGUUGUUGCAGUUAAAAAGCUCGUAGUUGGACUUCAAGAAGCGCAUCUGGGGCAACCAGUUUUGCCUUCUACCAGCCCUAGGCUGUUACUGUGAGAAAAUUAGAGUGUUUCAAGCAGGCUUUUGCAGGAAUACAUUAGCAUGGAAUAACGAAUGUGUCUACAAUUUGGUUGAUUGUAGGUUACAAUUAAUAGGGACAGUUGGGGGCAUUAGUAUUUAAUAGUCAGAGGUGAAAUUCUUGGAUUUGUUAAAGACUAACGUAUGCGAAAGCAUUUGCCAAGGAUGUUUUCAUUAAUCAAGAACGAAAGAUAGGGGAUCAAAGACGAUCAGAUACCGUCGUAGUCCUAUCUAUAAACUAUGCCGACUAGGGAUUAGUGCGGUCAGUACCGCAUUAGUACCUUAUGAGAAAUCAAAGUCUUUGGGUUCUGGGG